This 265-nucleotide ribosomal RNA is filed under the name uncultured bacterium. RNAcentral's name for it is "partial 16S ribosomal RNA". It matches the Rfam family "Bacterial small subunit ribosomal RNA", at positions 1227 to 1500 of the family's 1533-position model. The record is from RNAcentral.
ACAAUGGGGGGUACAGAGGGCCGCUACCACGCAAGUGGAUGCCAAUCCCCAAAACCUCUCUCAGUUCGGAUUGAAGUCUGCAACCCGACUUCAUGAAGCUGGAUUCGCUAGUAAUCGCGCAUCAGCCACGGCGCGGUGAAUACGUUCCCGGGCCUUGUACACACCGCCCGUCAAGCCAUGGGAGCCGGGGGUACCUGAAGUGCGUAACCGCAAGGAGCGCCCUAGGGUAAAACUGGUGACUGGGGCUAAGUCGUAACAAGGUACC